UACAGAGGUCUCAAGCGUUGUUCGGAUUCAUUGGGCGUAAAGGGUGCGUAGGCGGCGCGGUAAGUCCGAUGUGAAAUCCCGGGGCUCAACCCCGGAACUGCAUCCGAUACUGCCAUGCUAGAGGCAUGGAGAGGUAGCUGGAAUUCUUGGUGUAGCGGUGAAAUGCGUAGAGAUCAAGAGGAACACUCGUGGCGAAAGCGAGCUACUGGACAAGUCCUGACGCUGAGGCUCGAAGGCUAGGGUAGCGAAAGGG
This 253-nucleotide ribosomal RNA is filed under the name uncultured bacterium. RNAcentral describes it as "partial 16S ribosomal RNA". It matches the Rfam family "Bacterial small subunit ribosomal RNA", at positions 524 to 776 of the family's 1533-position model. The record is from RNAcentral.